RNAcentral lists this ribosomal RNA (630 nucleotides) under Trochulus hispidus complex sp. 3 LK-2014. RNAcentral's name for it is "partial 12S ribosomal RNA". The record is from RNAcentral. Lineage: Eukaryota; Metazoa; Mollusca; Gastropoda; Stylommatophora; Hygromiidae.
GAUUUUGUUACGGUCUAUAUUUUUCUUCACGGUUUUUGACUAUGGAAUUUAUUGAAAUAUACCAGUCACGAAAUUUUGUUAUAUUGAGAAAUCAAGUACAAGAAACCGUAAUUCUCAAGGCCUAGAUGGUGCCAGCAGCCGCGGUCAUACCAUCUUGAGUAGAAAAAAAUAUAAGUGAAAGCAACUAAAAUAAAUAUAUUACUAUUGGUGAAAUAUGUUUUAUAUGGUUACUAAUAUAAGUUUAUAAUUUACACAAAUAUUGCUUGCAAACAAGGAUUAGAUACCCUUCUAUGCAGUAUAAAAAAUCUUCACGGGGUAUUAAAGUAUCUACCCAAACUCAAAUAACAUGGCGGUAAUUUUAAAGCUUAGGGGAACUUACCUAAUAAAUGAUAACCACCAAGGAAAGCUACUUUAAGUAAAAUUUUGUAUGCCGUCGUCUAGAUUAAAUAAUAUAUUUAAUCCAUAGUUAUAUAAUAACCUAUGACAGAUCUUGGUGCAGACCAUCUUAAAGAUUAAGGCGAGUUACAAUAAUAAAUUCUAUUCUAUAGGUAUAUUUAUAAAACCCAAAUAGUUGGACUUAAUAGUAAGGGUUAUAUUUUAGUUACUUCCUGAAUAUUAAUAAAAUUGUGU